RNAcentral lists this ribosomal RNA (253 nucleotides) under uncultured bacterium. Its description in RNAcentral is "partial 16S ribosomal RNA". It matches the Rfam family "Bacterial small subunit ribosomal RNA", at positions 524 to 776 of the family's 1533-position model. The record is from RNAcentral.
UACGUAGGUGGCGAGCGUUGUCCGGAUUUACUGGGCGUAAAGGGCGUGCAGGCGGUUUGUUAAGUGCAGAGUGAAAGCUCCCGGCUCAACUGGGAGAGGUCUUUGCAUACUGGCAAACUCGAGGGAGGCAGAGGAAAGUGGAAUUCCCGGUGUAGUGGUGAUAUGCGUAGAUAUCGGGAGGAACACCUGUGGCGAAGGCAGGUCUCUGGGCCACUACUGACGCUGAGGAGCGAAAGCAUGGGGAGCGAACAGG